GGGUCCUUAGCUCAGUGGCAGAGCAUUUGACUGCAGAUCAAGAGGUCACCGGUUCGAACCCGGUAGGGCCCU
This 72-nucleotide transfer RNA is filed under the name Ricinus communis (castor bean). It matches the Rfam family "tRNA". Rfam says of the family: Transfer RNA (tRNA) molecules are approximately 80 nucleotides in length. Their secondary structure includes four short double-helical elements and three loops (D, anti-codon, and T loops). Lineage: Eukaryota; Viridiplantae; Streptophyta; Magnoliopsida; Malpighiales; Euphorbiaceae. RNAcentral also lists the same sequence under 1 other name. The record is from Rfam by way of RNAcentral.